This 27-nucleotide small RNA is filed under the name Bombyx mori (domestic silkworm). Its description in RNAcentral is "ovarian small RNA-17573". The record is from RNAcentral. Lineage: Eukaryota; Metazoa; Arthropoda; Insecta; Lepidoptera; Bombycidae.
GGUGAAAUCCUCUACGGCUGCGGAAAC